Molecule: non-coding RNA, 33864 nt
Organism: Oryctolagus cuniculus (rabbit)
Lineage: Eukaryota; Metazoa; Chordata; Mammalia; Lagomorpha; Leporidae
Source: RefSeq, a predicted model, not a curated record
CUAGGCAGGAAGCCUCAGUCUUCUCUGGUGGCGGCUUCCUCAAUGACCUCCGACUUCUCGGGGUCUCAGAAGACGAGUGCUGCCGCUACAUCCUUCUUCCCCAUUCCACGCGAACCCAACGCUGCGCACGCUGACGCUGACCCCGACGCAGCGUCGAAUGCAGCGUCUGGGUCACCGUCAGCGUCCCAGCGUCCUGAGCGGCGUCGGGGUCAGCGUCAGCGAACGUAGCGUCGGGGUCACGUAAACGUUGUGGGUGGGGCGGCUCAGUUCAUCGGCGGGUGGUGGUAAAGAUUCUUCUGAGAAACCGAGACGUUGGCGUUCAGCGAGGAAGCAGAGGCGGGAAGUCUCAGUCUUCACUGGCGGCAGCACAGCGGAGAACCAGGAGAAGCAGGAAGCGGUGGGGGUCGGCGUGGGCAUCCCGUGGGGCGUCCUGCUCUGGACAGCGCAUUUCGUGGGCAGGCAGCGGUGGCGGCGAGGAAAGGCGCGGUGGCAGGGCCAUUCUGGUGCAGAGUCCGGCGAUGUGGAGCGUCGGUGGCCGGCGAGGAAGCAGGUAGGAGUGGCGGUGCUGACGCGAUGGGCAGCAGCAGCGAAGCAGGCGGCGGCGGUGGCUCUGCGUUGGGCAGCGGAAGAGAGAGGCCGGCGGUGGCGGCUUGAGAUGGCAGUGGCGUCAGCAUCAGGUAGGCACUACAGAUUAACAGGUUGGGGAGGAAAACUGGUCAUAACAGUCAUAUUCGACAAAAUGAAGGGGAAGGAAGAUAGUCAAUUGCAAGGGAGUUUUCUCUAGCUUUGCAAGUGCCCCUAACACUAGCUUUAGGCUAACAGCCUUUGUGUGUCAUUUGUCGGAUUCUUGGGGGCGCACAUAUGAUGUGGGAGUUAAGUUUCUCCUUGGGAUGUCUGUGCCCUGUGUUCCAGUGCCUGGAUUUGAAUUCUGGAUCCAUUUCCAAUUCCAGCUUUCCCGCUAAUGUGUGUCCUGGGGAGACAUCAGGUGAUGGCAAAAGUGUCUGGGUACUUGUCAGCUACAUGGGAGACUGGGUUCCUGGCUCCUAACUUCAGCCUGACCCAGUCCUAGCUGCUGCAGGCAUUUAAGGAGUGAGGGAGUAAAUGGGAGUGCUCCGUCUCUUUGCCUCUUAAAUAAAUAAAGUUAAAAUUCUUCAAAAGUGGGUGAUCUUUAUCUAUUCUUAAGAUUUAUUUCAGAGGCAGAUACUCAUACCCAUACAGGUACAUGCACGCGCGCACACACACACAGUGCUGAAAACAGACAUAAAGAGGGUUCUCAUCUGCUGGUUGACUUCCUAAUUCCCACAACUACUGGGCCUGAGCCUGGCUGAGUUGAGGACUGGAGAACCAUUCCGUGUUUCCAGCAAGGAUGAUGGGUACCCAAAUACCUGGGUCCUAUCCACUGCCCUCCUGGUCCACAUUACAGGAAGCUGGACUCAAGAGCCAGAAACAGGAACCCGAUUUCUUGAGCCUUCACAACUGCCUUCUCCAUCCACAUUAAUAGGAAGCUAGAGUCAGGAGCCACAGGUGGAUACUGAACCUGGGUACUUCAAGGAUGGAAUGCAGGUGACCUUCAUUGGCUUGAGUAAGAUCGUACUCCACCCAAAUAAGAAGCAAUCAAAGAAAUUAAAGCAAAUACCAGCUAAAUUCACAUAAGUGAAUGCAAGAGGCUCAAGGAUUUGUAAGUACUGAUCUGGCAACAUCUAAGUUGCUGCUGGCACAAAACUAUCUAUUUGUAUUAUUAGAAGGAUAUAAUAUAAAUCUUUGUUAAUGAAAAACUCAGGAAGGAGGUCAUUAAAUAGAAUUAAAUACUUCCUCAACAUACAUACCACUUACUUGCUGAUCGGUAUCGGGAAAUACUGAAACUGGCCUAUCGUAAAACUUUUGGUCCCAGGGAACCCAAGGUCUUGUAGGUCCAUUUGAUUAAAGACUUUCUUGUUUGAAAGGCAGAGUUGACAUGGAGAUCUUCCAUCUGCUAUUUCACUCCCCAAAUGGCCACAGUGGAAAGGGUUAGGCCAAAGGCAGAAGCCUGGAACUGCAUUCAGGUCUCCCAAAGUGGUGCACGGACCCAGGCACUUAGGCCCUCAUCAGCUGCUUUCACAGGCAGAUUAGCAGGGAGCUGGAAUGAAGUGGAGCAUUGGGACUCGAACCUGUGCUCAUAGGGGAUGCUGGCAUUGUGGGAUGCGGCUUAACCCACCAAGCCAUAGUGCCAGCUCCUAUCAGGUCCAUUUCUAAAACAAUGGAGAUCUUUUGGGAAAAUCACUUUGGUCAGACCUGCUUGGUAAGGUAAUCCCAACAGAGUUCCUUUCCUGCUGCUCCACUGCUCGACUGCCUGCAACUGCUGGGGCUGGGUCAGGCCAAAACUAGGAGCCGGGAACUCAAUCUAAGCCUCCCACGUUGGUGGAAGGGAACCCGAUGACUGAGUCAACAUCUACUGCCGCCUUGUGUGUGCAUUAGCAGGAAAUUGAAUCAAAAGUGGUGCUUGGUAAUGCAUGGAAUUUGGAUUUCAAACCAGAGUUUGGCUCCCAACUGCAUCACUUACUCUCAUAUGUCAUUAAAAAUGUUGUAAUCUGGUGUGCCGUCAUUCUCCUGUUUUCUCCAUUGCAGCUUUACAUUCUAGUCAUCUACUGGACCCUCAUCCACCCAGUCUUCCACCAUUGCGCCACCAUCCCUCCUACUCUAUGUUAGCUUCAACCUAAUUGAGGGCCUACAUACUUGCCUCCCACUCCGUCCUCUCUAUAUAUCCUCCCAUUCCUUCUGGCCCGCCAACAACAUUGGACUCACUUUCCUCCCUCCUCCAUACCAGCCUCAUCAUCCCGGUUGGUCCUGCACACCAGCCUCACCCUCUUGUGAAGGCCAGCCUCACUCUACCUCUGGCCCACACAAACAACCACACCUUAUCCUCAUCUUCCACCUCCGUUGUAUUUCCCUUGUUUCCCCGCUACAACUGCACCCUUCCUCUAGACUUCCACAUCCGUUUCAUCCUUACAGUUUUCUACCAUAUCCUCAACCUGUCUGUGGUACUCUACAGCAGCCUCAAUCUCUUUGUGGGGCCUGCAUCCUGGCCUCCCACUCUUUGUAAUUCACACUGGGUUCAGCUUCCUUCUGGCUACCAUACUAGAAUCACUUUCCUUCUGACCCUCCAGCCAACCCUCACUCUCCUGGCCCUGCACACCAGCCUCACCCUCCCUCUGGUCCUCAGUACCAGCCUCACCUCCCCCCAACCCUCCAUGCCACUCCAGCCUUACUCUCCUUCUGUUGGUCCACUAUAGCCUCGCUCUUCUAGCCCUCCAUAUGGGUUUCAUCCACCAAAUCUGCCAUAACUUCACCUUUCCUGUGGUACUCUACACCAGCUUCAUCUUCCUUGUGGGCCUCCAUCCUGGCUUUGCACUGCUUGUAUGCCACUGUGACUUCCAACUUCCUUCUCAUCCUCAGUGCCACCCUCUCCCUCCUCAUCAUCAAUGCCACCCUCACCCUCCUCAUUUCUCUAUACCAGCCUCGCAUUUCUAUUCCUUGACACUGUCCUCACCUUCCUUUUGUGGCUCAACCCUGGGAUAACCCUUGUGGUGAUUCCCCCACCUAAGGAUCGCUUUCUCUCUGGUCUUCUAUUUAGUUGCUACCCUCCCUGUAGCCAUCCACCUAAGCCUAGCCUUCACUGUGGUUCUCAACACAAGCCUUUCCUUUGGACUUCCAUGAUAGCCUCACAUCCCUCCUAGUCCUCCACACCAGUCUCAUUGUCCUGUUUCUCCACUGCAGCCUUACCCUCCUUUGAGUCCUCCUCUUGUGCCUCACCUGCCAACUCUUCUUUCAUGGCCUCACCUUUCCUGCUGUGCACUACACCAGACUCAACCACCUUGUAGGCUUCCGUCCUGGCCUCCAUAUUGCCCUCUCUUUACAUCUAUCUGUUCCACCUCAUUAGACAUACUUUCCUUUAGACUCUGCAGCCCAGCCUCAGCCUCAACCUCACCAGCAGAUGGAAGAACCAGCAAUGGAAUGUCCGUCUCCCUCUCCCUCUCCCUCUCCCUCUCCCUCUCCCUCUCCCUCUCCCUCUCCCUCUCCCCCCCACCCCUCUUUCCAAAGAAAUCAUUUUUUAAAAAAGAGAGAUCGGAUUCAGGAGCUGCAGGCAAGGAUUAAACUCAGGUAUUCAGGAUGCUUGUUUCCCAACCACUGGACUAUAUGCCUGCUCCAUUUUGUAACAUUUUCACUGUUGUUUGUUUAGUAGUUGCCCUUGAGUUUGCAACAUGCAUUUACAGCUAAUCUCAGUCUGUUUUCAAAUAUUCUGCUUCCUGGAUACUGUGAGUGCCUCAUAAUAACAAAAUAUUCCCCAUCUCCUCCCAUUCCUUCAACCCUCAUGCAUAUUUUCCUUGCAGUGAUAGAAAAAUAUAUACACAUGUAAUAUGUAAAUAUGAAUAUAUAUGAAUAUUAUGUAUGCCAUUUUUGUGUAUGUAUUGCAUAAAUAUAGCUUAAAAUCAUAUAUGAUCUAAUAUGUUGCUAUCAUUACUUUCAGCAAUCCCAUUAGUAAAUUAAAAAUAAGAAAAAUAAAAUUUAUAUUUUACUGUGAUUUUUCUUUUUUUCUCUCAUGUUCUUCCUUUUUAUGUAGAUCCAAGUUUCUGACCUAUAUGAUUUUCUUCCUCUCCAGAAAACUGUUCACAUUUCUUGCAAGAUAGUCUUCUGGCAACAAAAUGUAUAAUUUUUGCCUGCCAAACAUUUAUUUCUUCUUCACUUUAGAAAGACAAGUUUCAGGAUACUAAAUUUCAGUUUGGUAGUUUUUUCUCUCCAUGCUUAAAAUAGUUUUCUCCUCAGUUUUUCCUUGUGUGGUUUCUGAGGAGAAGUCAGAUGUGUUUGCUCCCCCAUGGAUUGUUUAUUCUGCACAAGCUGCAUUCAGGACUUGUUUACGGGAUACUGCUGUAUAUAGUGAAUAUCAACAAGCCUUUGGAGAAGUUUUUUUUUUUUUUUAAGGAAGUAUGGGAGGAGAUAUGGAUCAUUUUUUUAAAAACUGAGGACAAACAGACCUGUUUAGACUACAUACUUCUAAGUAAUGAAACUAAGAAUGGAUGUUGGUGAGCUACAUCAUGCAUGAGAUUUAAAAUAGCACUCUUAAUUAAAAACACAAUUUUUAAGAGCAUCGGUUAACAGAGAGCAUUGAAUUUGCCUCCACACUUUUUCAGUGUACUGCAAAGUAAGCAUUUUGGGCAAGGACCACAUGUCAGAUUUAUCUUUGAAUCUCUCUUGCCUGCUAAAGGUAGUGACAUGAUAGCCCUGAAUAUGUGCUUAAAUGAAUCCAUUAAGGAAUGCAUUCAUGCAUUAAAUUCAAAUAAAACCUCAUGGUGUUUGAUGUCAGAAUUGUGUAACUAAAUAACGUUAGGUUCUAAAAUAUCAACAUGGUAUUUCACUUGGAGAAAACAUAGAUUAAUGGCUCUGAUUUUGAAACUACUUCUUUCUUUCUCAAAAAGUGCAGUAAACCUUGGGUGACAGUCAUGAAGCCUCUUCCUACUGCAGCUAAGUAACAUAGACCCACUAUGCCUCAUUUUCCUCAUUUGUAGCAUUGAUUUUAGGUUGUCUUGACAAACUACCAAGAGUUUUGCCGUACCAUUCUUGUUCGUUCUGGUUUGUCUGGUCUGCAAUGAUAUCUGUCACAGAUUUCCAAUCACUACUGGCAAACAUUUAGUUCACUUAGUUUAUGCAGAACAGUUACAGACUCUGCUGCUGGGAUAGAAAAUAUAUCUCAUUUAGAGUUUUACCCUGUGGAUACAAUUUGAAAUAGAAUGAAAACCAUUGGCAUAGAGUCCCUUUUAAAGGUUUACCUGUUGUAGAAGCAUUUGAAAGAAAGCAUAUUAAGGGCAAAGAUAAAUAUUUACUUAAAUUAUUAAAACAUCUUGAGAUUUUUUUGCUAUGGCCCUGAUGUCAUAAAAUUAUAUUUAAGCUAUUGUGAUAACUUUGAAACCAUAGACAUAGAGGUUAGUAUGCAUUGAGAGGUACAUAAUGUAUAUACUGUUAGCUUGCUUGAAUUAAAGGUAGCCAUUGUAUAUUUUAAAUUACUUUAAUGUUGAAAUUUGUAUGUAGUUUAGAAAAUGGAAGGUAUGGUCUGCUGAGAGUUGGCCUUAAUCCUCAAGUAGGUUGGCUUAUACUCAAUUUCAGGGAGACAACACACAUAUGCCUAGUAGGAUAACCCAAACAGUAGGCUUUGUAAGGCAAAAAGCCUAUGAAUAUCAUGGAGAAUAAGAAUUUCAGGCUUUGUUUUUAAUAUUUGUUAAUUUAUUUAUUUGAAAGGCAGCGUUACAGAGAGGCAGAGGCAAAGAAAGAGAAGUUUUCCAUUUGCUGGUUCACUCUCCAAAUGGCCACAACAGCUGGAACUGCAUCUAUCUGGAGCCAGGAGCUUCCCUCAGGUCUUUCAGGUUGGUGUAGGGGCCCAAGGACUUGGACCAUCCUCUUCUGCUUUCCCAGUCCAUAGCAGAGAGCUGGAUUGAAGUGAGGCAACCAGGACUCAAACCAGCACCCAUAUGGGAUGCCAGCACUGCAGGUGGUGGCCCUACCAACUAUGCCACAUCGCUGGCCCCAGAAUUUCCAAUUUAACUUUUUUUCCUACUUGCAUUUCCAUCAAAGAAGGGGUUGAUGAUGAGAUGUUAGGAAUCUAUUAUUAAAUGAAGGCGUGAGGAAUCUAUUACAGCCCUCCUGCAUUAUUGCUUCUUUCCAGCUUAUGCAGACUGAAUUUACAAAUGGUUUUGGUGCUUCUAUCACACAGUAAAUGAUUUUUUGAAUGUAAGCCAUAUUUAUUCCUAUUUUACUCAAUGUUAGCAUUAAGACAAUGAUAAUGCUAACUAAAAUUUUUAAAAAAUUUAGUUAAAAUUACAUUUGCAUAUGAAAGUGGAGGCAAACUUACCUAAUUUAUUCUACUUCUAAAUAUACGUAAAAUUUUCUUGAGGAAACAGGAUGGCAGUCAGGUUAAGAGGGCUAGUUCUUGAAAAGGAAGUUGUCAUAUGUAAUCAUUUAGGAGCGGCCAUCUGGAGGUAUUGAUGCUCUUCACUCUUCACAAUUAUUUAAUUAUGUUCUAGGUGGCAUUUCACUGCUUGAUGUCUUUUGUGGAUAUAUCAUUCUUUGUACAUUCAGUUGCUGAAUCACAGUCAUAGGCCGUUUCCAUAUUUUAGCUAUUGUGAGUAGCACUGCCAUAAACAUGGAAAGGAGAUAUCCUUUUGACACACUGAUGUCAUAUCUUUUGGACAUAUACCCAGUAAUGGAAUUGCGGGAUUUUGCUCAGUUCUGUUUUGUUAGAGAGACUCCCAUACUAUUUUCCAUAAUGGUUGUGCUAAUUUGCCUUCCCACAAAAUACUAAAAAUUUCACCUGUCUUGAAAUCCAUGUCACCCUUUGUUAUUUUUUGUUUUCUUCAUGAUAGUCAUUCUACCUGGAGUGAGAUGAUAAUCUUAUUCUGGUUUUAACUUGCAUUUUUCUGUUGAUUAAUGAUGUGGAGAAUUUUUUCAUGUAACUAUUGGACAUGUGCAUGUCUUCUUUUGAGAUGAGUAUGUUAAGUCCUUCAGCCUAGUUUAAAAAUUGUUGUUUUGUUGUUGUUGUGUUUUGUUUUUUUUUUUUUUUUUAGCCCUGGGUUUUUUGAGAUAAUUGUAUAGUCUGGAUAUUAACUCCUGUAGAAAACCUGAGAAGUAUUGUGUGGCAUUGUAUUGGGGACAGGUUUUGUUAUUUACGUUUUGACAUAGAAGCACAGGCUAGACUGGCCUGGGUAGGUGGCUUGGGGCUGCUCCCACACCUGGAAUCUGAAGCAGUGUCAGUGGCCGCGGGCUUAGCAGGUUGGAGCUGGAUGGACCUGAUGCAAGGUGCUGGGCACCACUGGCACAGCACCCCAGCUGGCCGCAUGGGGGAAAAGGCCCAGGCCCUGCUGCCCACGUGUGACUCUUGGGGGCUUGGCUGCCAUGCCACUUUGUCCUGGGAGGCCCUGCUACAUGCCGCUGCACUCUGGGAGCUGGGAGCCCAACAAUGCCCUGCAGGUCUAAGGAGCCUGCCCUGGUCCCUGCACUGGCUGCAACCACUGGAGAAUGAAACACCCCCAGAUAAUAGCACCCGUGGGCUUGGACAAGGAGCUCAGUGACCUCCUGGACUUCAGCAUGAUGUUCCUGCUGCCCGUGGCCAGUGGAAAGGGCUGGCCUGUCUCCUUGGCCAGCGCAUAGUUCAGAGGAACAGGUCCGGAGGACUGGCCGGCUCAGGCUCCUGGGACGCUGGCAACCAGAACACCUCCUCCUUUGACCCCGGCCAGAGCUACAGUGAAGGACCCAUUUCAGUGAGUCCCACGGCAGCCUUUCUUGGUUCACAUUCCUGGGACCUGGGACCUGGACUUGGAGGCAAGGGAGGCCAGUGGGGUGGGUACCCCACCUUCUGGAGAGACACAGCUUUUGGCGGCUUGACUCAGGUCAGGUUCCUUGACUGGCGAGCUGGCCCUCCACAGCCACGGGCCAUUGUCCUUCUCAGACAUCAAGGGCAGCACCCAGUACAAUGCCUCCUAACCCGGCAACCCUUGGGGCAAAGCCUCAGGUGGCCACUGGGCCUACAGCCCAAGAAUGUCCAGAAGAUUCUACUUGUUCUUCCUUCCUCAUUGUACCCUCCCACCCCCAUGGCAGCUUAGGUGACGACUAAGGCAGGGAUGCCUGUGUCUACCCAUCUGGCAAGCUCCCUGUAGCACCUGCUCUGCAGCCUUCUACUGGCCAGCCUGCACCCUUCCUUGGAGCUCUAGAGCCCCUCAGACCAGGAUGGUUUCAGGCCCAUGCUGGGCGGGAGCUCAUCCGACUGCCCCUCUGGAUGGGCAGUGGUGAUGGGUUUUGAGGCCACAGUGCAUUUGGUAGCAUGUACUAGGAGCAUAUGGACUACUAACCGCAUGGAGCUGAGGUCAAUAGUGGCCUCCCAGCCAUGUCCACCUUCUCAGUGCUCCCAUAGCCGUGUAUGGUGGCAUCUCCAGCAACACACCACCCCUCCCAUCAGCGGGGCAGACAGCCUCAUCGGCUCCAGAGAGACCAUGGCCACCAGCAGGUGAGAGAACAGCAAAACAAUCCCCAGAGUUCUCUCUCAAGCCAAGAGAAUGCAAGAAAACUACAAGAUGAAAUGCAACUGAUUCACCUUUGCCAAAAAAGGAGGAAGACAUUGCACCAAAGGAAGAGAAUUAUGAGGGAGGACUCUGUUGGAGAAGCUAUUCAGCCAGCAGGAGAACGGGCCUCCAGAAGAAGCAGAGAAGUUUUGCUCACGGAUCAUUGCCAUGGGUCUCCUACUUCCUUUCAGUGACUGCUUCAGGGAACCAUGUAAUCAGAAUGCCCAAUCGAGUUCAGCUCCGUUUGAUCAAGAUCAACUUUACACCUGGGCUGCCGUUAGUCAACCCACACACUCGCUGGAUUACACAGAAGGGCAGUUUCCCAGGAGAGUCCCGUCUGUGUGGCCAUCAUCAAAACCUCCUCAUGAAGAGCACAGGUCGAAGAAGGCCGAAACAGAAUCUCAAUCUGCUGUUUUGGAACCCCUGAAUAAGUGUCCAGAUGCUGUCCAGCAGUUCUGGCCAACAAACAAAUGCUACCAAACAAUGGGAGACUUAACUGAGAAAUAUGUGGUGAACUUUUUCCUCCCUGAUAAGGAAAGCUGCUCUACCCGCACCUACCUUCCGACUGUUGGACAAAAUCAUGAGGGGAGAGAGAGAGAGAAAAUGAAUCUUCUCUGGUUCCACGGAAGAUAGGUCAAGAUAGUAAGAAUGAGUCCUUGAUGCCAUUUUCAAAGUCAACAAUGAGACAAAGUUAAAUAAAAGAUUAAUUAAAACUUAGAUUCUGUAAUUAAAGUGUUCUGAGUCCAUAAAAUAAGAAAAUAAAUGAGUAGAGAAGGUAGGAAAGAGGAUGCUGAGAACUCACAUAUUCCAGGCUAGGAAUAUGGGCAAAUGUUUUAAAUUCUAUGUCCCUCAAGGAAGUCCUACAAAAAAGGUUCAAAGUUAUAUUAGAGGUGGUUUUUCUGAAAGAAGUAUAUCUUCUCUAAACGAGGUUCUCAUUGUAGUCUGUGGUAUAAAUUGCCUGAAUGUUCUAUAAUUUGGAAUUUUACUGGGUUGGAAAAGCCAACUUCUAUGUCUAGAGUUAAAACAAUCAUCAUCAUAGAAGUGGAAGGUAUAAUAUAAACAGUCAAAAACGAAACACAAAAUGACAAGUCUCAGACUGCAAUCAUUUUUGAAGAUAUUUUCAUUAAUGUUCCUUAAGUUUUUAAUUUUUUUUUUUUUUACUUAUCUGAGAGGCAGCAACAAAGGGAAACUCCCACACAUCCUGGUUCACACCCCAAAUACCUGCAAUGGCCAGGGCUGGGUUAGCACCUGAGCCAGCAGCCAGAAAGGCAGUCCUGCUUUCCAAUGAGGGUGCAGGAAUCCAAUGAUUUGAGCCAUCAUCGCUGCCUCCCUGAACUAGGCUAGAGUCAGGAGUCAGAACAGGGAAGGAAACCAGGCCCUCUGAUGUGGAAGCUGGGUACUUUAACUGAUAGGCUAAAUACCCACUCCCGAAAUGUUCUUAGACAAGAGGAAUAAGUCCACCACAAAGACACAGUUAUGCUUCGUGUCUCUGAAAUAGAAAUUAUUAUUUCAAAUUACCUCAGGGUAGAAGAAUGAACAGCCUCAUUAAGGAGAUUAGAUUCUUUAGACUCAAAAACUUCUGUUUGUGGAAAAAAUCUUUGAUUAUGAUUAUUAGGAUAUAGAAUUCACUAGAAACUCAGAGGAAAACAUUAUGUUUUUGAGAGAAUUGUGAUUGUGACAAAAACAUGAGGCCUGGUGGGAUUUAGCAGGAAACUAACUCCUCAAGUAAUCCCAGAACUUAGAAACUAAGCCAAAUAGAACUGGAUAACGCAUACAUUAUUUCUCCUAGAAAUUACCUUCUGCCACAUACAGAUCUCUGAAUGACCAGGGAGGAUCCUGGGAAAAGAGACUUCUCAAGAGCAGCAAUAUGUGCUGACAGACUAGACUGGCCAAUUGGUGAAUUUUUUACACAGCAAUUCGUAUUGGUAAGGUUGGGAAUAAAGAGAAGUGAAAAAUGCAUUACCCUAGGCCAGGAAAUUUAAGAGUGAGCUAAAAUAUUGAAAAAAAAAAUAGGUUAAAUAACAUUUUAAUGCAAUUACAAAAAACUAAGUUAAUGACAAAAAGAUCCAUGAUGAAUGAAAUAUCAAAAUUGUAAAUAUAAACCAAGAUUACUGGUGCCUCCUUUUGCCUCAGGUUCCCAUGCAGCUCAGCACAGCACUGUUACAGUCAUUUCCUCGUUUUUCCUUUCCUAAAACCUUUGUGGUGGAUUUCUUCUUUUCCUCAUCAUUGUGUCUUGUGUGUGUUGGUGGAAGCCAACUUGGUCACCAAAUAUAUAAAAAGCCAAACCCAGUCUUGCUUAUCUCUAGAGACCUUGGGCCUUCAAGUGAAAUGGAGAAAUUGGAUGAGAUUGAGGUGGCCUCUCCACAGGCAGGGGCCCGGGAGCUUUGAGGUUCGGUGUGCAUCCUGCAUCUGAGGACCUCUUCGCUCGCGGACAAUGCAUUCAGUUCUCACGGUGGAGAUUAAAGUCGCCGAGAUACAAGAAACGUUUUUCGCGCCCGAGUUCAGCCUGGAGCCAAGCGGGGGCCUUGGGGGCGGCGGCUGCCGGCGGGGAGCCAGGCCCGGGCUGCGUCCCGCGCAGCCAUUGGCGGGCGCCGCCGCGCGCUGCACUGAGCAUGUUCGCGCCCCGCCGGCUCCGGGCCGCAGCCGCAGCCGCAGCCGCAGCGAAGGCAGCCGCGGGAGCCGCCGCGCAUUAUCAAAGCGGCGGCAGAUGCGAGCGGGACCAGCUGGUCGCACGUCAGCUUCUCCUCCCAGCAGCUCGCCCCGCUGCCUGACUUACCCUGGAGAGUCCCCCGGCCCGGACUCGGGGCUGAGGAGGGCCGGCAUGGCCUGAGUGCGCGGGGCGCGGCGGCGCAGCGGCGGGAUUGCACCAUGGGGAACCAGGAGGGGAAGCUGAAGAGGAGCGCAGGUGAUGCCGCGCACGAAGGCGGCGGCGGCGGCGGCGGCGCCGAGGGUGCUGUGGGGCCCAGGGAUGUGGAGGCCACAGAAGGGCAGUGGGGGCAAGAAGGCGCUGGGCAAGCACAGCAAGGGGGGAGGGGGCGGCGGCGGGGAGCCCGGCAAGAAGAAGAGCAAGUCGGACUCCAGAGCCUCGGUGUUUUCCAACCUGCGGAUCAGGAAGAACCUGUCCAAGGGGAAGGGCGCCGGGACUUCUAGGCCCUGCAGACCGGGGAGCUGGACAGAGCGCGCUCCCUGGUCCCCAAGACUCCAGACCUCAGCCUCUCGGCGGACGAGGCGGGCCUCUCGGAUACGGAAUGUGCGGACCCCUUUGGGGCGCCUCGCCCGGGGGAUCAUGGUCCUGCCGAGGCUGCGGUGGCGGUUGGGGCAGUUGCUGAGGAUUUGGAACCCGCGGCGGGGGCGCAGGAUGGACAAAGGACCAGUUCGGGCUCGGCUACGGACAUCUACAGCUUUCUCUCGGCCACGGAGCAGGAUGAUAUGCCCUCGGAUAUUGAGCAGGCGAUACGCCUGCAGCAGCUGCUCCAGGGCUUCUAGGAGUCUGCAGCGCCCCCCACUGAAGCUCGCCCUCAACCAGGGGCCUUCCUGGGCCUGGACCGGUUCCUGCUGGAGCCGAGCCCCGGGGCUGGGGAGGCCCCAGGUAGUCCCGACACAGAACAGGCGCUGUCUGCGCGCUCGGAUCUGCCUGGGAGCUUGACCGCCGAGCCCGCCGUGCCUGAGCAGCCACCAUCUCCUGGCGCCCUCUUCGCCUCGGAGGCACUCAGCCUCCCGGAGGCCCAGCCCCCGGCCGCAGACUCGCCCUCAUCCACGGCCUUCGCGUUUCCCGAGGCUGGGCCGGGGGAGGGCGCAGCUGGAAGCCCCGCGCGAGGGACUGGUGACACGGACGAGGAGGCCGAGGAGGAGGCUUUUGAGGAUGCCCCCCGAGGCUCUCCAGCGGAAGACUGGGCCCCAGAGAGGGGAGAGGCCCGGCCGAAGUUGGGGGUUGAGCCCGAGGAGCUGGCGCGAGAGCCUGGAGCCCCCGCAGCCUCCUCCCUGCCCGGCAGCCCCUCGCCCAGUCCGCGCUGCUUCAAGCCCUACCCGCUCAUCACUCUCUGCUACAUCAAGUCCACCACCCGGUAGCUCAGCUCGCCCAAUCACUCCCCAUCUCAGUCCCCCAGCCAGAGCCCCAGGAUCAAGAGGCGGCUGGAGUCCUCCCUGAGCCGGGGACCCUGAACUGCCCUGGCCUCGGCAGCCGCCCCGGCUAAGAAGCACCGGACGGACGGCGGCCUCGUGGGCGGCCUCAGCCGCUCCGCGGACUGGACAGCGGAGGUGGGCACCCGCGCGCCGCGGGCGGGAGGCUCCGCGCACCUGCUGGAGCGCAGGGCAGCCACUGAAGGCGGUGGUAGGGUGUCCCCAGCGUUGGCCGCCAAAGCGUCUGGGUCGUCCACGGCUGCGGAGGGCUUCCAGAACGUAUUCACAGACUAUGAGCUUCUGGAGGGCAGGAGCCAGGAUGGUCUUUCUCAGUUGGACCCCAGGACUGACUUUGCUGGAAACAAGGUGGACCCAGAAGAGAGCAAGGUGACAUGCUGGUGCCUCAGAUUCAUACAAGUCACCCACGCCCUUUUGUCUGCUGACAGAAUUCUGUGUCAGAGAAAGGAGGUGACUGGUCCAAGGUCACAGGCUGGUUCAAGAACUGUGGAGCUCGAAGCAUUCCUGUCAUUUCCCCAGACAACCACGAGAGGGCAGAGCAGGACUACUUAUGACAGUGGAGCCAUUGCAGAAGGGCCCGGGAGCUCUGAAGUCCCCUGUGCACCUGCACUGAGCCUGUUCCUCCCUGCGGGCCGGCCUCAGCCACAGCUGCAGCCACUGCAGUCAGGGAGGCGCAGUGCAUUCUUCAAAGCAGCCCAGGUACCAGCGGGGUGUGCUUCAGCCUCUCCUUCUGGCUCCCACCACUGCCUGCUUUGCCAGACCAUGCCCCUGGCUGCGCAGCUGGCCCAGUGGCUUCCGGUCUCAGGUCCCAGCGUGAGCCCCAGGAGCAAGAGGCCUGUGGAUUUGUAACUGAGUCCGGACCCUAAACAGUCAUGGCUUCCGCGGCGGCCCAGACCAAGGAACACGAAGCGGCCACGUCUCUGCAGGAGCUGCAUGGAGGAGGUGGGCUGCGUGACCUGGGCCGAAGCUGCCAAACCGGCUGACCAUUGACCUCAGUGGACCACGACGAUGUGGGGGUGCCUGGCACGGGGCGCCCACAGCUGUGUUCGGCUCUGGGAAGUUGUCCCCAGGUAAGCUCGCUGACCCCAGCUUCCUUUGGUCUUCUGGCUUUCGAAGUAAGUGAUAUGCCAAUGUCCUCUUCAUAGGGAAAACUGUGCCUCCUUGGUGAAAUUCUUGGGAUGCCCUUGCUGGUAUCGGUUCUCUUAGAUGGUCUGGAAGGAAUCCUUUACUUGUGCCUGUCCUAACAGACCUGUGCUCCUGUUCUGGGUCAUGGCAGGCAGAUCACCUCCUUGUUUGCCUUGGUAGUUAGACCCCCAUUCUUCUCUUUCUUCCCUUGUCUGCCCAGUAUUAGGAAGAACAAGCUUGUUUCUGGUCCAAUCACAAAGGUGGGUGUUGGGGGCACAAGGAGUCCAUUCUGGGGCUUUCCAAGGCUGUCUCUCAGUGUUCUGGUGUCGGUACAUAUGUGGGUGUUUCUGUGUACCUGGAACGCGCGUUUUCUGUCUGGCAGCCAUCUGGUGCAACUCCUUAGUGAAGCUAAAUGGUCACUCCUGGUAGCUGAUGCAAGCCAAUCUGAUGCAUGCUAUUCAAAAAGGUGGACAUCAUAGAGCUAUUAGGGAAAGUUUCCUUUGGUUUCAUGGACCAAGCAAAACAGGCUAUAGCUGGAAAAUAGUGAAGAGGAGGAGGCUUUACCCAGACCUAGUCCCACAGAGAGACCUCUGUGGCUUGGCAUUUGUUACAGACUCACAGCCAGGGCUGCCCAGAGCACAGUGACAAGGUGAGUUUGUUUUGGUAAAAGUUAGUAUGAUGGCUUUAUCUUCUUUAACAGGAUUAGCAGUCCCUAGGCCUUAGGAUUAGAGUCCACAUGGAGAGUGUCACUUAGUUUCAUGUUUACUUACUGGUUUCUCUUAAUGCUGAUAUGUUUGUGAUAAUUAUGUGAAUGACUGAAAGUUUCAAAUGCAGAGUUGUGGCUGUGGAGUAGGCUAAGCCUCUGCCUGCAGCACUGGCAUUGAAUAUGAGCACCGUUCAAUUACCUGGCUGCUCCUCUUCCUAUCCAGCUCUCUGCUUAUGGCCUGGGAAAGUAGCAGAGGAUGGGCCCCUGCAUUCAUGUGGGAGACCCAGAAGAAGCUCCUGGCUUAGAUUGGCCCAGCUCUGGCCUACGUGCUGCCAUCUGGGGAGUGAACCAGUAAGCAGAAGAUCUCUGUCUCUUCCUCUGUCUGUAACUCUACCUCUCAAAUAAAUGAAAUCUUAAAGUUUCAAAUGCAAUUCAAAAUUUUAAAAUCUAUUAGUAGGUUAUGAUUAAAUCUUUAAUUGGACAAAAUUUCUCCAUGAGGACAUCUGUUUCUUGAUAAUGCUGUAUUAACCACUUUUAUGACCAUAUUUUAUUUUCUCUGAGUUAUCUAUUAAUAUGCAUUGUAGACUCUCAUAAACAUGGCCUCUUGUGUCAUUUUAAAUGCUGUUUUUUUUAUUCUUUUAUUCCCUUCUUUGAUUUUAUAGAUUCAGUUAAAGGAGUGCUUGUAGUCUCAUGACCACAGAAUAAAUUGUGAAAACCCAAGCAACAAAUAGACCACUUCUGAUGGUGGAAUGGAAAGUUGUUGAAUGAAUUUUUGAGUUUAAUGUCAGUGAGAAAUCUGUAUUUUCUGCUUAUCUAGCUUUCAUAAUUUUUUUCUGAAAAUUGAACACUUCACUAUGAGUAUCAAUCAUUAGCAUUAAUAAUUGCUGUUUGUAAUCAUGUAGGACUGUGAGUUUAUAGGUAACAUUCAUUUAUCAAGCGUGUGUGUGUGUGUGUGUGAGUACACACUUGUUUAUGGAUAUAGUCACAUCACCAAAUGCCCUCCAUUGCUGAUGCUGGGCCAGACUAAAUCCAGGAGAAGAGAACUUGAUCUGGGGCUCCCACAUGUGAGGUGGGAGCCCAAGCACUUGAGCCACCAUGUCCUGCUUCCCAGAUAAAUUAGCAGGAACGUGGAUUUGAAGCAGAGCAGCCAGAACUUGGAUUGGAACUCCAGUAUGGAGUAUAGGCAUGCCAGUAGGCUGCUUAGCACACCACACCACAACCCAGGCCCCAUAAGUAGUGUUUUGGGGGUGUUAUCAUCCACAUCUUUGUCUUGUUCACUCAACAUGAUUUAGAAAAUAGAUUCUGUAGGCUUAACAUAGUCUGGCGAGUGGUGAGGAAAUGUUGGGGAAGAGGUGAAAAAACUCUCAGAGAGCGUCCUGGGACUCACUCGGAGGCAGACACAGAAUGCGGCAGAAUCUCCUGACUGCUGAGUACCUUUCUUUGCUCCUGAUGUUUAAUGCUCUAAAACAGUGUGUGGAAGGAAAUUCUGUUUUAAAAAUAUUUGUUUUACCUAUUUGGAAGUCAGAGUGACAUAGAGGGAAAGAGAAAGAGAUUGUUCAUCCACUUGUUCAUUCCCCGUGUGUGCUUGGACACCCAGAAUUCCACCUGGGUCUCCCACAUGGGUUGCAGAGACGCAGGUAUUGGUCCCAUCCUGUCCUGCCUUCUGAGGUACAUUAGCAGGGAGCAGGAUCUUAAGUGGAGCUGCCCAGCCAAGACUCAAACUGGUGUUCCAACAUGGAUGCCCGUGUUAAAAGUGCUGGGUUAACCUGAUUUGCCACAGUGCCAGCUCCAGGAAAAAGUUUUUAAAGACCAGUUAAUAUAGGGGCUAUCAUAGUAGCACAGUGGGAAAAUCAACCACCUCUGACUCCAUCACCUCACAGGGGAACCUGUUCUAGUCCCAGCCCCCUCAUUUCAGAUCCAGCUUCCUGCUAAUGCACUUGGGAAAGCAGGGGAUGAUGCCCCAAGUACUUGGGUCCCUGCCACCCACGUGGGAGAUGUUGAUGAAGCUCAUGUAAGCUAGCUUGGCCUGGCACAUCCCUGGUCACUAGAGGAGUAAAUCAGCUGAUGGAAGAUCUCUGUCUCUCCUUUUCUCUCUGUAACUCUGCCUGUGGGGAGCAGCUCGGACUAGACUGUUACUGGAAUUAAGACUUAUUCUAUGCAUCUGCUCUCCUACAAUAUGGCGCUGGGAGAGGAGAAAACAGCUUCUACCCAGCUGCCUCCAGUUCAACCAAUAAACAGCAGGACCUGCUCCUGAUUGGAGGAGAGCAGCGUACUCGGCGUGUGGGCAGCCGAGUUGGGAUUGGCAGAGGAGGACUAUAAAGGAGGAGAGAGACGGCAUGCACCGGGAACAUCUAUGGGGAACAUCUAAGGGAACCCGUGCAGCCCCCCAGAGAGCCGGCCGGCGGUGUGCCGCUCCCCUGCGGAAGUGGGGAAAGCGGCCAGGGGGAACUGCCCUUCCACGGAGGUGGAAGGGAUAGUAGCCAACCCGGGAAGAACCAGCAGCAAACCCGGGGAGGGCCGAGCAGACGAAAGAACAGCGCAGGGUCCUGUGUCGUUCCUCCACGAAGAGGGGGAGCGACAUAAUGGUGCCGUGACUCGGAUAUGAAGCCUAGGCAGGGUUUAGUGUUGCUCCUCCACGAAGAGGGGGAGCGACACUGCCUUUUAAGAAAAUGAGUAACUCAUUUAAAAAAGAAGUUACAGAAUAAAAAGACUUGAUUUAAAAGGUUUUCCAUGAUUUUGUUCUUCUUCAAGACUUACUCUAAUGGUUGGACUUUCAGCCUUCCUCUGAUUGCAUGAAGGGUGACUGCUGGCCAGAAGCAGAUUUUCUCCAGGCAGCUCUCAUGGACGUUCUAGCUGUGGCGGCCACUGUGAAUGGACUCAGGCCCCAACCAUUGGCUCUUUGAUCGUCCUCUGCUGCCACACUUGAUUCUUGACAUUCCCUGCUAUUUUACAAUUCUCUUGGAAAUUACCAGAGACUAGGGAAUCCCUAGACUUUUACUUAGGGAAAUGCUUUUGGCCUUCAUUUUGCAUGAAUUUUAACAGAUUAUUCCCAAAUUGUUUUGAAAUAAGUCAUCAUUUUAUUCAUAAGCACGUUUUCUUUUUAAACCAUCCAAUAAUGGGCUGUCUGCUCUGCAGGGGGAACAGAUGUUUGUUUUGCUUUUAAAUACGUUUCAAAUACAGGAAAAGAUUGAAAUGUAGAGGGAUUUUAAUGGCACAUAUUUGUGUCCCAUUGAUAGUGAUCAAAAAAGUUUACUAUGAGAUCUAGACCAAAGAUUUAUCUUGUUCUAGCUUUUAAGAAACUGAUGAAGUCUUAGGUCCCUGCAUUUAAAUGGUUUACAGUAAAUUGUCUAAAUAUGUAUUUUCCAGUGUUGAAUGGUAAACAUUGCUUCUGAAAUUUGACUGGUUCCUUAACACAUUCACCUUAGCAUAAGGCGAUUUAUAGGGCUGGCAUUAAAGUUUAGUCACGUAGUAUGUUAAGCCUGUGAUACUAAAUGCCUUUAAAAAAAAAAACUUAUUUUUAUUUAUUGGAAAGCAGAGUUAAAGUGAGGAAGACACAAACACACACACACACACAGAUCUUUGAUCCACUGGUUUUCUCCCCAAAUGGCCACAAAGCUGGGGCUCAGCCAGGCUGAAGCUAGGAGCCUUGACCUUCUUUGGGGUCUCCCACAUGGGUGCUGGAGCUCAAGGAUUUGAGCCAUCUUCUGCUGCUUUCCCAUGUGUAUCAGUAGGGAGUUGGAUCAGAAAUGGAGCAGCCAGGUCUUGAACCAGAGCCCUUUUGGGAUGCCAGCAUCACAGGUAGAGGUUUUUUUUUUUUCAUUUAAAGAUAUUUAUUGUUUUUUUUUUUACUUUUAUUUAAUGAAUAUAGAUUUUCAAAGUACAGUUUAUGGACUACAUUGGCUUCCCCCCACCCCCCGAUGACUUCCCUCCCACCCGCAACCCUCCCCUUUCCCGCUCUCUCUCCCCUUCCAUUCAUAUCACAAUUCAUUUUCAAUUUUCUAUAUAUACAGAAGAUCAGUUUAGUAUACAUUAAGUAAAGAUUUCAACAGUUUGCACCCACAUAGAAACACAAAGUGAAAAAUACUGUUUGAGUACUCGUUAUAGCAUUGAAUCUCAAUGUACAGCACAUUAAGGACAGAGAUCCUACAUGAGGAGUAAGUGCACAGUGACUCCUGUUGUUGACUUUACAAAUUGACACUCCUGUUUAUGGCAUCAGUAUUCUCCCUAUGCUCCAGUCAUGAGUUUCCAAGGCUAUGGAAGCCUUUUGAGUUCUCCGACUCUUAUCUUAUUUAGACAAGGUCAUAGUCAAAGUGGAAGUUCUCUCCUCCCUUCAGAGAAAGGUACCUCCUUCUUUGAAGAAUCACAGGUAGAGGUUUAAACUUAUAUUCGAUGACACUAGCUCAGCUAAAUCACUUGUCAAAAAGAUUUAUUUAUUCAUUUGAAAGGGAGAGUUAGAGAAAGAAAGAAAAACAGAAGGAGAAAAAGAGAGGGAGAGCACUUCCAUCUGCUGGUUUGCACUCUGAAAGUCUGCAAUGGCCAGGGCUAGGACCAGCAGAGGCCAGGAGCUGCUUCUGUGUCUCUCCUAUUUGGGUACAGGGGUGCUGGCACUUGAGCCAUCCUCUGCUGCUUUCCCAGGCACCUCAGCAGGGCACUGGAUUGCAAGUGGCACACCUGAACCUGUAUAGGAUGCAGGCCUCAUAGGCAGAGUCUUAACACGCUGCACCAUGUGCUUAGCUGGCCCCUGUUACAGGACUUUUGAUAGGAGCCUUUCCAGAUCCAUUAUGUGCUUAUUGGUCUUAUGUUGAAAACAUGGUAUAAAAUUUGAUGUAUUUUUAACGUCUCAGUGAUCUUCAUGCACAUCAUUUGUCCAUCUUGUGGCAUGUGUAGCCUGCAGAACUCGGUGUGCUGUUUCAGUUUGAUGUCUACAAUUUCAUGACUGUUUCUUUGCUGUCAGCCAUUUUUUCUUAGGGCUGUGUUUAGUUCCCCUCCCCAGUCACUUGUAAUUUGUUUUUGGCUCAAUUUGUUACCUGCUUUUGACAGCUUAAUUAGGAUUUUAGCUAAUAUGUAUUAGAGGUCUAUUAAAUGCCUCUGUGUUGGUACGUGUCCUAACCAUCUGUAACCUUACACAAGGCAGGAAGUACAGCUGUUCAUCCUACUUUUCUCAGCAACCCAACACUUGGGCAAGUAAGCCAACUUGCAUAUGGGAUUCAGCUGGUAAGUUGCCCAUGGAUAUGGCUAUGACUUUAACAGGCAAAUCUAUUUCUGAAGUCAAUCAAAUAAAAGCAAGGAUGUCAGUGAACAUUCAGAGCACUAGCUCAUCAAUAAAAUGUACAGAUUUUACAACUGUCAUUAUGGGAUUCUAUUUGUCUUUACUAAAGAUUUCUAGGUUUUCAUGUCAGCAGAGAAUGCUUCAUUCUAGGCAUUCACAUUUUCUCCAGGGGCUUGCUGAAUUGUUGCACUGACAUUUUUUAAGGCCAGGAGCAUUAGAAAUAGCCCCUGAAUGAGUGAACAAGUCUAGUUAACGUCCAAUAAAUGAAUGAACAGUCAUCCUUGUUGUAUAGAAUGUGGAUAACUGGAAAGAGAUUUAUAGAGAUGCUAUCCUUUCCUCCUGUAGAAUGGCUUCCUGAGUUCUAUGUAUGAGUAGAAUUUUGCAGAAUAAUUAGGGACUGAGAGCACUAGUUUUAACUAAUUUUAUCUUGUUCUGAAACAUCCUUUCUCAUUGUUUCUUUUGAAUAUGACUUGGAUCACUGUGAAGUACUUCAAAGUUUUAAUGAUGUUUCCUAAUGAGAGAUUUAUGAGCUAAGUACUGGCUUAGUUUUAAGUGCAUUUAAGGAUUUGGUUAUAAGUUGUAUCUGCAGUAGAACAGUUGCUUGUAGUGCUUUUCUUUCUGCUUUUGUGAAUAAAAAAAAAAACUCCUGAAGGCUCAGCAGGAGGAUUGUAGCAGUAGCUUCUAUAACCACUGUUAUUCUAGGUGUGUUGUAUCCUAGCUUUGACAUUUAAGGGAAUUCAGGCAAUUUUUGAUAUAAACAUGAAGAUAGUGGAAUUAUUUCAGAUGAAUAAUGUUAAGAUCUGUGUACAGAAUGGACACAAAGCCCCUGUCACUUUGCUUGUUUCAUAGGAGACAACUGGUCCCAACUGCUUCCUGAACCUGAUUUAUUGCCUCAAUAAAUUUCAUUGUCCAAAAUGAUCAUCACCGACUUUUUUACACAGAAAGAUGCUGAAACUGCAUACAAAACCUGGCAGGAUAUGAAUUGAGCAGACACUUGCAAAGAAUAUUAUUAGUCACUAGGGUUUGUUUUUUGAGGAAUGAUUAUUUUAUAAGUACACAUUACAUGUUUCUUCACUUUUAAUAUUUGUGAGCAUUUUUGUCACUUUCUCAGUGAGAGAAAGGAGGUUUGGAGAAGAAAGCCUAAGAAAGUGAUGUGGCUGGGAGGUUACAGGUGGGUGUCAGUUUGUAAGAGAGGUGGGGAAGGGGGAGCAGCCUCCCUCAGUGUGUAAGUCCUGCACAGGCUCUGGCUUGCACAAGGCCUACCCAUGCAGCCUCACUCCCCUUCAACUGCUGCCUGCAGACAAGCAAACCUGCUGGCUGCUCAGUGAACCUGCACUGCUUUGCCUUCUCCAGGUCUUUGUCUUACAGUCUUACCCUCUUGGAACACAGAAUCUGUCUCAGGAUUCAACAUCAGGAAAGGGCUGGGUGAAUCAGAGGGCCUCUGUUUCUUUUCCAGCUGAAUCUGAUUUCAGCUCAAUGUUGCAGUCCUGUAGUUGAGGUCUAUAGAUUAUAUGUGCUGCUUUGAUUCUGAGGUUCCUUUUGUUUUAUUUCUUGCUGUCGUCUGCCUUUUUCUCCUCCUUCACUGCUUGCCUGAUCUCAUCUGUCAGUUGUCUACUCUCCUAUCCACCAUUCACAGGUAUCUAUUCUGUGCCUUGUCAAGUGCAGUCAAUGCCAUAAGCACUAAGUAAGUUUAUAUCUAUAGGAAUAUUUUUCUGUUUUCUAAAGUUGGUGUGUGAGGGGCAUAAGCAAGUUGGGUAUCUAUGCUUUCUAUGGACACUUAAUGAAUUUAAGCUGGAAAUUGUUAGACAUUUUGGUCCCUAGUAUGUAUGAUGGUUUUUGAGGUGUGAUUGAGUGAGUUAUGAAUGUCGAAUGUUGGUUUGAUAUAGUGUUGAGGGAACCAUACCUAUUCUUUAUUCCAUAGGUUAACUUAAAAAACAGUUACCAUAACUCCGUUUCUACAUACAGAUUUAAUUGGUAAGGAAAGAAGGGCAACUAGAAUACAGAAAAUAUUAUUCUCCUGUGCCUAUUUUUUUAAAGAUUAUUUGAAAGUCAGAGUUACAGAGAGAGAGGUUAGGGAGACAGUUCUUGCAUCCUCUGGUUCACUUCCCAAAUGGCCACUAUGUCCAGAUCAGAGAUGGUCCAAAAUCAGGAGCCAGGAGCUUCUUCUGGGUCCCCUAUAUGGAUGCAGGGGCCCAUAAACUUGGGUGUCCUUUCCCAGCUGUGUUAGUGGGGAACUGGAUAGAAACUGGAGCAACUGAGACUCAAACUGGUGUCUAUAUAGGAUGCUGGUGUCACAGGCAGAGGCUUUAUGCUAUGUCACAAUGCCAGCCCUUCUCCUGUACAUUCUUCAUUUUCUGUUGUAAGUUAAAACCUAUAGUUAGUGAGAUUUGGGAUUAAGGGAUCAUUAGGCAAAAAAAAGUGCAUUCCACCUCUGACUUGAUAGUUACCUAAUAUAAUUUUACCAGAGAAUUUAUACAGAUUUUUAAUAAAUAUAUGAAAUGGAAUUUUUAAAAUUAAAACUAUAAAAUGGAAUAUGAAUUCUAAUAAAUUUGGAAUGGUAAUUAGUAACACAAUAGAACAUGACAUAAAAAUCUGAACAAAUAAGUUACUGGAUACUACAAGAAGCUAUCCAGAACAAUUAUUAUCCUUUAGACACCUGCUUCACGGGUGUGAUAGAAAAUGAAUGUUUUUUUCCUCCACAAAGCUGUGGUGUAAAGUGCUGAUUGCAUAGGGAAAUGACUGUCUCUCUGGUCUAGUCUGUUCAGGCUCCCAUGUACUAUUGACCCACUGGAGGCUUUAUUAAAUGUUAUGCCAGAGGGAUGGUUUGCUGAAAAUAAUUUUUUUUUCAGGAGAAAUGAAAUAAUUUAUUGAGAAAAUGAAGAAUUGUGUUUUUUAAGAUUUUUUUUAAUUUAUUUGAAAGACAGAGUUCGAGUUAGAGAGGUCUUGUUUCUGCUGGUUCAGUCCCCAAAUGACUGCAACAGCCAACGCUGAGCCAUUGGAGCCAGGAGCCUCUUCCAGGUCUCUCACAUGUGUGCAGGGGCCCAAGGACUUGGCCUAUUCUCCACUGCUAUCCCAGACACAUUAGCAGGGAGCUGAAUCAGAAGUGGGCAGAUGGGACUCAAACUGGUACCCAUGUGGGAUGCUUAGACACUUUUAUUUAUGGAUUACAAGUUAAUGCACUUCAGAAAUACAUUGUUAGGAAUAUAGUGAUUCUUCCCAUUAUACUUGCACUCCCGCUCACACUCCCACCCCUCUUCUUCCUCCCUUAUCCAUUCCCAGUCCCAUUCUCCACUAAGACCCAUUUUCAAUUAACUUUAUACGCAGCAGACCAACUCUGUACCAAGUAAAGAGUUCAACAAUUUGCACACACACAUACACACACACACAAGCAUAAAACUGUUCCUCAACAGUUGGUACAAGGAUUGGAAACAGCAAGCCAGGAGCAACAGAGAGAAAAGGUGAGCCCAGGAGGAGAGGAAGCUAAUGGGGGACUCAGGGGACAGUGGGGAAGGGAAGAUCCAAGCGGCAGGUGGCAUUGAGGGAGACAGUUGGAGUGAUGGGAGUGACAAUGAACUGCUAGUGCUCAGGAAAAUAAAGGGUGAGACCCUGGGGCAGAGCGGUUAGCAUCCCUGCCAUGGCCAUCCCCCUGCUGAGGUUGUAAGUGCUGUUCCACAUGUUCUUAGAAGGUGACCUAUAGUGUGGGCUGGGUACGGGCGAGGGUGUCAUGCCCAUGUAAUUGAAAAAAGGGUUUUUAGGUCCAGGAGGUUACUGUAUUUGGAGCCUGUCUGGUCCACCUGGGCCACAAUACUGAUGUUGCAGCUUUGUCUUUUUUGGGCAGUCAGCAGAGAGGUCCCUGAGAGGUUAUCCUCAGCCUUGGCAAACAAUGGCAACUGGAACAAGCACCAGGCCUGGUACCAGUGCAUCAGGGGUUCUGUUGGGCUCAUGGACAACCACACGGUCAUUAUGGAGCCAAUGAAAGUGACGUCAAACCAGAAAGCCAGACUGUGGACAAGCCCUGAAUGCAGCAUAUGGAAUUUGAAUUGGAUUUCUAUCCUCUGCCAGGAUUACAAUUAAAACCAAAUCAGUGAAGCAGAAGAGAGAAUAUUGGACUUAGAAGACAGAGCACAGGAAAGUAUACAGUCAAACCAAAGAAAAGAAGAGGAAAUUAGUAUCCUGUAGAUUCGUGACAAUAUUUUUAAGAUUUCUAUUAAAAAAAAUGAACAUUCGGGUUCUAGGAGUUUCUGAAGGCAUGGAAAGAGAGAAAGGAUUAGAAGGCCUUUUUAGUGAGAUACUAGCAGAAAACUUCCCACGUUUGGAGAAGGCAGAGACAUCCUAGUACAGGAAGCUCAUAGAACCCCUAAUAAACAUGACCAAAAGAGAUCCUCGCCACGACACAUUGUAAUCAAACUCACCACAGUGAAACAAAAAGAAAAGAUUCUAAAAUGUGCAAGAGAGAAACAUCAGAUUACUCUCACAGGAUCUCUAAUUAGACACACAGCUGACUUCACAUCAGAAGGCUAGGAGGGAUUGGCAAGAUAUAGCCCAGGUACUAGGAGAGAAAAACUGCCAGCCCAGAAUAUUAUAUCCUGCAAAGCUCUCAUUUGUGAAUGAAGGUGAAAUAAAGACCUUUCAUAGCAAACAAAAAUUGAAAGAAUUUGUCACCACUCAUCCAGUCCUGCAAAAGAUGCUUAAAGAUGUGUUAUACACAGAAACAGAAACAUGGCCAUCAAUAUGAAAGAUGGUAAAGGAAGAAAACCUCCCAGUAAAAGAUCACAGGAAGUUCAAAGCAUAUAUUAGAAAAUAUCUUUGGGAAAAUGGCAGGGCAAAGUUACUACUUAUCAAUAGUCACAUUGAACGUUAAUGGCCUCAACUCUCCAGUUAAAAGACACAGACUGGCUGAAUGGAUUAAGGAAUAAAACCCAUCUAUUUGCUUCUUACAAGAAACACAUCUUUCCAACAAAGAUGCAUGCAGACUGAAAGUGAAAGGUUGGAAAAAGAUAUUCCAUGCCAACAGAAACCAAAAAAAAGCUGGUGUAGCCAUAUUAAUAUCAGACAAAAUAACUUUAACACAAAAACAGUGAAGAGAGACAAAGAGGGGCACUAUAUAAUGAUUAAGGGAUUAAUUCAAAAGGAAGAUGUAACUAUUAUAAAUGUAUAUGCACCUAAUUACAGGGCACUGGAUUAUUUAAAAGAUAUGUUAAAGGACUUAAAGGGAGACUUAAGACUCCAAUACAGUAGUACUGGGGGACUUCAAUACUCUCAGAAAUAGGCAGAUCAACCAGACAGAAGAUCAACAAAGAAACUCGACACUAUAGCCCAAAUAGAUCUAACAGGUAUCUACAGAACUUUCAAUCCUACAUUUAAAGAAUUUACAUUCUUCUCAGCAGUGCAUGGAAUCUACUCUAGGAUUGACCACAUACUAGGCCAUAAAGCAAUUCUCAGCAAAUUCAAAAGAAUUAGAAUCAAACCAUGCACCAUCUCAGACCACAGUGGAAUGAAGCUGGAAAUUAGCAACUCAGGAAUCCCUAGAGAGUAUGCAAACACAUGGAGACUGAACAACAUACUCCUGAAUGAACACUGAGUCAUAGAAGAAAUCAAAAGAGAAAUCAGAAACUUUCUAGAAGUAAAUGAGGAUAACAACACAAUCAUAUCAAAACUUACGGGAUAUGGCAAAAGCAGUGUUACGAGGAAAGUUUAUAGCAAUUGGUGCCUACAUCAAGAAAUUGGAAAGGCACAAAACAAAUGAGCUUUCAAUGCAUCUCAAGGAUCUAGAAAAACUGCAGCAACUCAGACCCAAAUCUAACAGGAGAAGAGAAAUAAUUAAAAUCAGAGAAGAAAUCAACAGGAUUGAAUAAAAAAAAUUACAAAAGAUCAGCCAAAUGAAGAGCUGCAUUUUUGAAAAAAAUAAACAAAAUUGACACCCCUUUGGCUCAACUAACUAAAAAAAGAAGAAAAAAGAUCCAAAUCAAUAAAAUCAGAGAUGAAAAAGGAAACGUAACAGCAGAUACCACAGAAAUAAAAAGAAUCAUCAGAAAUUACUACAAGGACUUGUAUACCAGCAAACAGGGAAACCUAUCAGAAAUGGAUAGAUUCCUGGACACAUACAACCUACCUAAAUUGAACCAUGAAGACAUAGAAAACCUAAAUAGACCCAUGACUGAGUCAGAAAUUGAAUCAGUAAUAAAGGCCCUCCCAACAAAGAAAAGCCCAAGACCAGAUGGAUUCACUGCUGAAUUCUACCAGACAUUUAAAGAAGAACUACUCCAAUUCUUCUCAAACUAUUCAGAACAAUUGAAAGAGGGAAUCCUCCCAAAUUCUACCUAUGAAGCUAGCAUGGCCUUAAUUCCUAAGCUGGAAAAAGAUGCAGCAUUGAAAGAAAAUUACAGACCAAUUCCCUGAUGUACAUAGAUGCAAAAAUCCUCAAUAAAAUUCUCACCAAUAGAAUGCAACAACACAUCAGAAAGAUCAUCCACCCAAGCCAAGUGGGAUUUAUCCCUGGUAUUCAGGGAUGGUUCAACAUUUGCAAAUCAAUCAAAGUGAUACACCACAUUAACAAACUGCAAAAGAAAAACCAUAUGAUUAUCUCAAUAGAUGCAGAGAAAGCAUUUGAUAAAAUACAACACCCUUUCAUGAUGAAAACUCUAAGCAACCUGGGUAUGGAAGGAACAUUCCUCAAUACAAUCAAAGCAAUUUAUGAGAAACCCACAGCCAGCAUCCUGUUGAAAGGGGGAAAAUAAAAGAGAAUAAAGGGAUACAAAUUGGGGAGGAAGUCAAACUAUCCCUCUUUGCAGAUGAUGUGAUUCUUUAUUUAGGGGAUCCAAAGAACUCUCUAAGAGACUAUUGGAACUCAUAGAAGAGUUUGGCAAAGUGGCAGGAUAUAAAAUCAGUGCACAAAAAUCAACAGCCUUUGUAUACACAGGCAAUGCCAUGGCUGAGAAAGAACUGUUAAGAUCAGUCCCACUCUCAGUAGCCAGAAAAACAAUCAAAUACCUUGGAAUAAACUUAACCAAGGAUGUUAAAGAUCUCUACGAUAAGAAUUACAAAACCUUAAAGAAAGAAAUAGAAGAGGAUACCAAAUCUUCCAUGCUCAUGGAUUGGAAGAAUUAAUGUCAUCAAAAUGUCUCCCUAGAGUAAUUUAUAGAUUCAGUGAGAUACCAAUCAAAAUACCAAAGACAUUCUUCUCAGAUCUGGAAAAAAUGAUGCUGAAAUUCAUAUGGAGGCACAUGAGACCUUGAAUAGCUAAAGCAAUCUUGUACAACAACAACAACAAAAAGCUGGGGACAACACAAUACCAGAAUUCAGGACAUACUACAGGACAGUUGUAAUCAAAACAGCAUGGUACUGGUACAGAAACAGAUGGAUAGACCAAUGGAACAGAAUGGAAACACCAGAAAUCAACCCAAAUAUCGACAGCCAACUUAUAUUUGAUCAAGGAUCUAAAACCAAUUCCUGGAGCAAGGAGAGUUUCUUCAAUAAAUGGUGCUGGGAAAACUGGAUUUCCAUAUGCAGAAUCAUGAAGCAAGACCCCUACCUUACACCUUAAACAAAAAUGCACUCAACAUGGAUUAAAGAUCUAAAUCUAUGGCCGGACACCAUCAAAUUAUUAGAGAACAUUGGAGAAACCCUUCAAAAUAUUGGCACAGGCAAAGAUUUCUUGGAAAAGACCCCUGAGACACAGGCAGUCAAAGCCAAAAUUAACAAUUGGGAGUGCAUCAAAUUGAGGAGUUUCUGUACUGCAAAAGAAACAGGAAAGUGAAGAGGCAAUAGACAGAAUGGGAAAAAUAUUUGCAAAUUAUGCAACAGAUAAAGGAUUAAUAACCAGAAUCUACAAAGAGAUCAAACAACUCUACAACAACAAAAUAAGCAACCUACUUAAGAGAUGGGCCAAGGACCUCAAUAGACAUUUUUCAAAAGAGGAAAUCUAAAUCCCCAACAGACACAUGAAAAAAAUGUUCAGGAUCACUAGCAAUCAGGGAUAUGCAAAUCCAAACCAUAAUGAGGUUUUACCUCACCCCAGUUAGAAAGGCUCACGUACAGAAAUCUACCAACAACAGAUGCUGGCGAGGAUGUGGGGAAAAAAGGACACUAACCCACUGCUGGUGGGAAUGCAAACUGGUCAAGCCACUAUGGAAGUCAGUCUGGAGAUUCCUCAGAAACCUGAAUAUAACCCUACCAUUCAACUCAGCCAUCCCACUCCUUAGAAUUUACCCAAAGGAAAUUAAAUUUGCAAACAAAAAAGCUGUCUGCACCUUAAUGUUUAUUGCAGCUCAAUUCACAAUAGCUAAGACCUGGAAUCAACCUAAAUGCCCAUCAACAGUAGACUGGAUAAAGAAAUUAUGAGACAUGUACUCUAUAGAAUACUAUACAGAAGUAAAAAACAAUGAAAUCCAGUCAUUUGCAACAAAAUGGAGGAAUCUGGAACACAUCAUGCUGAAUGAAAUAAGCCAGUCCCAAAUGGACAAAUAUCAUAUGUUCUCCCUGAUCAGUGACAACUAACCAAGCGCCAAAAAGGAAACCUGUUGAAGUGAAAUGGACACUAUGAGAAACAGUGACUUGAUCAGUCCUUGUCCUGACUUGAGGAACAACUUAAUACUUUAUCCCUUUUAGUAUUAAUUUUUGAUCUACUUAAUACUAUUGGUUGAACUCUUUAAUUAAUACUCAAUUAUUCUUAGGUGUUGAAACUUAACUUUAAAGUGAUCCCUGUUAAAUAUAAGAGUGGGGGCUGGCAAUGAGGCUCAAUAGGCUAAUCCUCUGCCUGCAGCACCGGCACACUGGGUUCUAGUCAUGGUCAUGAUGCCAUUUCUGUCCAGGUUGCUCCUCUUCCUGUCCAGCUCUCUGCUGUGGCCCGGGAGUGCAGUGGAGGAUGGCCCAACUGCUUGCACCCUGCACCUGCAUGGGAGACAAGGAGGAAGCACCUGGCUCCUGGCUUCAGAUCAGCAUGGUACGCUGGCUGCAGCACGCCAGCCACAGCAGCCAUUGGGGGUGAACCAAAGAAAAAAAGGAAGACCUUUCUCUCUGUUGCUCUCUCUCACUGUCCACUCUGCCUGUCAAAAAAAAAAAAAAAUAUAUAUAUAUAUAUAUAUAUAUAUAAUAAUGGGAAUUAGAGAGGGAGGAGAUGUACAAUUUAUCUGAAUUUCCCCAAAUGGUAGAGUUAAAAAUGUGCCAGGGGAUUCCAAUUCAAUCCCAUCAAAGUGGCAUGUACCAAUGCCAUCUCGCUAGUCCCAGUGAUCAAUUUCAGUUCACAAUUGAUCACUCUGAUAAGUCUAAGAGUCAAAGGGAUCACAUAAACAAGACUAGUGUCUGCUAAUACUAACUGAUAGAAUUAAAAAGGAGAGAACGAUCCAACAUGGGAAGAGGGAUACACAGCAGAAUCAUAGAAUGGCAGAUGUCCUAAAUAGCACUCUGGCCUCAGAAUCAGCCCUGAAGGCAUUUGGAUCUGGCUGAAGAGACCAUAAGAGUAUUUUAGGGUUGGAAAGCCAAGACACUCUGGGAAAAAAAAAAUCCACAAACUUCUCAAUAAAGAUCUCUGCAAGUGCACUCCCAGUGGAAAGAACGGGGCAUCAAAGAAGGAGGUACCUUUCUCUGAAGGGAGGAGAGAACUUCCACUUUGACUACGACCUUGUCUAAAUAAGAUCAGAGUCAGUGAACUCAAAAGGCUUCCAUAGCCUUGGCAGCUUGUGACAAGAGUCUAGGGUGAUUAUUGACGCCAUAAACAAGAGUGUCAAUUUGUUAAAUCAACAACAGAAGUAAAUGUACACUUCUCAUGUAGGAUCUCUGUCCUUAAUGUGUUGUCCAAUGUGAAUUAAUGCUAUAACUAGUACUCAAACAGUACUUUUCAAAAGUUUGCACGACAGAAACAAUCUUCACUUAAUAUAUACUCAAUUGAUCUUCUGUAUAUAAAGAUAAUUGAAAAUCUUGAUGUGAAUGGAAGGGGAGAGGGAGCAGUAGAGGGGAGGGUUGCAGGUGGGAGGGAAGUUACAGGGAGGAAAAAUCCACUGUUAUCCAUAAGCUGUACUUUGGAAAUUUAUAUUUAUUAAAUAAAAGUUAGAAAAAAAUAAACAGUAAAACAGAAUUCUAUUGAUAUUUUUAGAAGUUUUUGAGAGAAAUUUUUUUCGGCAAACUGUAACAAGGUUAUUUUAUUUUUUUGACAGAGUUAGACAGUGAGAGACAGAGAGAAAGGUAUUCCUUCCAUUGGUUCACCCCCCAAAUGGCCACCAUGGCCGGCGCUGCCCCGAUCCGAAUGCAGGAGCCAGGCGCUUCCUCCUGGUCUCCCUUGCAAGUGCAGGGCCCAAGCUCUUGGGCCAUCCUCCACUGCCUUCCUGGGGCACAGCAGAGAACUGGACUGGAAGAAGAGCAACCAGGAAGGAAUCCGGCACCCCAACCGGGACUAGAACCCUGUGUGCCGGUGCUGCAGGUGGAGGAUUAUCCAAGUGAGACAUGGCACCGACCUGUAUUAAGGUUCUUAAACACUUAAAUGUUUUUUCUUAAAAUAUGGCUCAGUAAAAAAAAUUGUGAAACUUUGUACUUCAAUGAGGAAUGAGAAUUCUGGACCAUAUACUAAUUUUAUGCAUGCAGAUUCUUUGAAUGUAUUCUAAAGAAAUCAUUAUUUUUGUAUUGUCUAUUGUCCUGGCUCAGACAGUAUUUAUCAAAAUUAUUUUAAAAAUAUUUUCUCCUAACAACUUCUUUCAGUGACAAAUUGUACCAUGUUCUGUUGUCACCCCUGCUAGCUUAUUGGUGUGGAUUUAUUUUAAUCAUAAAUUCCAACAUGGGUUCCCAGUGUCAAUGGUAGAAAAAUUGUGGAGCCAAACACUCUGCCUGUUUCCAGAGAUUCCAUUUGGACCAUGGGAGGCACAGCUGUCUGUACAUUGUGCACAACCCUGCACCUACACCAGGCCGUGCAGGGUACAGAUCAGGAUUUCCUAAGAUCCCCUAACAGAAUACAAGCAAAGGAGAGAAUACAGUGGCUCCUGUCAUUCUGCCUGGGAAUGGAGAGCUCCGUUCCCACUGAGGUGUCCUGCUUAGACUCCCUCCCUUCUCCAGAAAAGAGCAAACACCAAAAACCAGAGGCUGUGGUAGGUAACUCAGCAUCCAGACACCCCAACAGAAGCUCAUCCCUCCUCUUCAGCUUGGAGUUCAGAGUAUGGGAACAGCCCUAUAUGUACCCACAAUCCCUGUGGCACAGGAUGGAGCUGGGGGUGCUCUUUCUCCUGCAAAGAGCUGUGGAGCAGAGCUCAGGAUGGCUACAUUUCAGAGGAUGGGCAUGAGGACAGAAGGAAGGACAAGGGGAUUGCACAGCUGUGUAGGCUCCAUUUGCCCUCCCUCUGCAAAUCCCAUACAGUCUUAAUAUUCACAUCUACUGAGGUGGGCUUGGUCACCUUGACCUUCAAGAGACAUGAGAAUGACAACCUAUCAGUCUCAUGAAUCACUUGCCAGUCAGACUGAUUCUCUGAUCCUGAGGCUGUGCAACAUGUAGGCAAAGUAAAUCCCAACAAAAGCACCACAUUACCUUGAAUCAGCCUGUGACCUUGGACCAGACACCUCCUUUCUCUGAUACAGAAUUCUGUCAGCAGACAAAAGGGUGUGGGUGACUUGUAUGAAUCUGAGGCACCAGCAUGUCACCUUGCUCUCCUCUGGGUCCACCUGCAAUUGUCACAGCACCUCAGUUUCUCCCUGGGGGAGUUUUAUAUAGCCCCAGUCCAUGUGGCUAACUGUUGCUCAUCAACUUCCUGUCUGCCACAGAGAGGGGCUUCAUGGGAUGCAUCUGGAGGAAUCUUGGUGCCCAGCACCAAGACUCUGCACUGUGGAUUAGGCCCCUGCUUUCCGGGGCAAAGACAGACCCUGUGUGCAUGUUGGUCCAUGUUCACCAGCCCAGCUCCACCCAGGUGCUCCAAGGGGAGGCCCUGCCUGUGCCCCAAACAUUUCCAACAUUACUGCUUCAGCUGUGGUGAGCCCUGAACAUUCACCUUGUUUCUGGCAAAGUCAGUCCUGGGGUCCAACUGAGAAAGACCAUCCUGGCUCCUGCCUUCCAGAAGCUCAUAGUCUGCAAGGAGAGGGAGACCAAGAUCUUGAAAAUAAAAAUAGCAGGAAUCAAAGAGCAAGUGCUGUAACAUACUCAGUGAGGGUUCUGCAAGAGUGCUGAGCCACUUCAUGGGGAAUCUGAAAGGUCUACACUUAGGGACAGUUAUGCUGGGGCAGACGAGAAGAGGAGCCUGCUCUGCACAACGCUGACAGCAGUGUGCUGGGGAGGCUCCACUGUGUAGAUUCCAGUGCAGAAGUGAGUUUGCCCAGAGAGGAGGUUAGGAAGGUGGCCAGUGGGACUGAGAGAGCUUGGACAGGGAGGAGGAGAGGAUGGAGUGGAGCCAAAGCUGACUCUGGGGCUGGUGCACUGCCCUCAGAAACCAUCAACUCCACUGUGUCCAUUUACAACAACUGUGAUGAGCUCACGAUUUCACUGCUCCACAAGUCCAGUAAACUCACCUCAGGGCUACUGCUACAGAGGCUCUCAGGAGUAGGGGCUGUGGCCUCAACAGAAGCUCAAAUAGGGAAGGAUUUAGGGGGACUGGCAGGAUUUAGUGUGGACUGAGCACAGAGUUCCCCUCUCUGCUGUCCUUGCUGGGUUCUGAGCCACAUGGCUUUCCCAAAGGCAGCAGAUAACAUAGCCAUCUCUAAGGGCAGGGGACUAACAGAGGGUGGGCAGAAAGAGGGAAGAGGAGGAGGAUGAAAGAGGGGAGGGGAAAGAUAGGAGGAGAGGAGAGAGAAGGAAAGAACUGAGAAGAGAAAGGCUUUAGUUGCAAUCACAUCACAUCUAAAUCUCGCAGAUGACAUCUCAUCCUAUCAACUAGAAGAGAGUCCCUAGCUGUAUACACACUUCAGGACAGGGGACUACAUGAGAAACUGCACCAGGAGGUGAGGGGAGCUGGGAGCUGCUAGAAGUCUGCCCACUGUGCCAGUUUUGGUGGCCCGGAUUGAGCCAUCAAUUUCACCACCUGCAUCCCACAUAGAAACCUGGUUUGAGUCCUGAUUAGUCCGCCUCUGAUUCAGCUUCCUGCUCAUGUGCCUAGGAAGGCAGCAGAAGAUGGCCCAAGUGCUUGGAUCCCUGCCAACCACAUGGGAGUCCCAGAUGAGGGCCCUGGCUCCUGCCUUCAGCCUGGCCCAGAGCUGGCUCUUGCAGCCCUUUGUGGAGUAAACCAGUGGAUACAAGAUCUCUAGCUCCCCUUCUCUCUCUGCUGUGCAAACAAACAAAUCAUUACAAACCUAAUUCUGUUCCACACACAAGUCGAUGGCACGUACUAAGGUCUAGGCCUAAAGAACAAGACAAGACACUGGAAGGUCUGGGAGGACAAUAUCUGAUUUGAUCAAUUCAAGCCACUAAUGACGCAGUCAGAGAACUGAUGCAAAGGAAGGAAGGUGGAUAAUGCCAAGCUCACAUAACAGGAAUCAGGUCUGCUUUUCAGUUGUCCAGGCUACUUUGAAAUCAUCAGACAAAAAGGGGAUUGGUGAACCAUGUGCACGUCCCACGAAUGAGUCAAAGACCCUGUAUCCCAAGU